Long non-coding RNA from Sardina pilchardus (European sardine), 487 nucleotides. RefSeq lists it as uncharacterized. NCBI's taxonomy places the organism in Eukaryota, Metazoa, Chordata, Actinopteri, Clupeiformes, Clupeidae. The record is from RefSeq and is a predicted model, not a curated record. The transcript has 3 exons.
CGUAGCUCCAUCGUAUGCCUGACUCCAGCCUUCACCGCUCCCCGUAUUGGCUUCACCGCUGGCCGGUUCCGUGUGUCCGCCGACUUCUCGGAGUGCAGCUAGUCGCUGAACAUGGGCCUUAUGACUGACCACAGCAGAGCGCAGAUCUCGGGCGUAACAGGGAGCGGCAACAUCAAGGCGUCUUGGUCCCAGUUCCGACGAACGCUGCUGUUUUGUCUUGUCUUGUGUCUUGUUUUGUUUCAUUCCAUUUGUGAGUCGGCUGUGUUUAGCCGCCACGAAGUUGAUUAUCUGAAGUGACGACAGUCACCUCUACUGACUUUAGCGAACUCACUCUGGAGAGUACUACUGCUGUUAGCGAAUCCACACUGGAGAGUACUACUGCUGUUAGCGAACCCACACUGGAGAGUAAUACUGACUUGAGCGAACCCACACUGGAGAGAACUCAUUCAUGUUUUUAAUGUAAAUAAAUAAGAGUUUAUUUUUGGAA